GAUGAACGCUGGCGGCACGCCUAACACAUGCAAGUCGAGCGGUAACAUGCUUAGUAGCAAUACUAAGUGAUGACGAGCGGCGGACGGGUGAGGAACACGUAGGAAACUGCCCAGAAGUGGGGGAUAACUAAGGGAAACUUUAGCUAAUACCGCAUAAUUCUCUGAGGAGAAAAGUUGCCCGUAAGGGUAGCGCUUUUGGAGGGGCCUGCGUCCGAUUAGUUAGUUGGUGAGGUAAUGGCUCACCAAGACUGUGAUCGGUAACUGGUCUGAGAGGACGACCAGUCACACUGGGACUGAGACACGGCCCAGACUCCUACGGGAGGCAGCAGUGGGGAAUCUUGGACAAUGGGGGCAACCCUGAUCCAGCGAUGCCGCGUGGGUGAAGAAGGCCUUCGGGUUGUAAAGCCCUUUAGGCUGGGAAGAAGAGUGUGGGAUGAAUAAUCCUGUACUUUGACGGUACCAGCAGAAUAAGCACCGGCAAACUCUGUGCCAGCCGCCGCUGUAA
Molecule: ribosomal RNA, 505 nt
Filed under: uncultured bacterium
Lineage: Bacteria
Description: partial 16S ribosomal RNA
Rfam family: Bacterial small subunit ribosomal RNA
Source: RNAcentral